Molecule: non-coding RNA, 28 nt
Filed under: Callithrix jacchus (white-tufted-ear marmoset)
Lineage: Eukaryota; Metazoa; Chordata; Mammalia; Primates; Cebidae
Also listed under: 1 other name
Source: RNAcentral
UCUCUGAACCUGAGCUAGAUUUGUUGGG